UGGGGAAUAUUGGACAAUGGGGGCAACCCUGAUCCAGCCAUGCCGCGUGAGUGAUGAAGGCCUUCGGGUUGUAAAGCUCUUUCGCACGCGACGAUGAUGACGGUAGCGUGAGAAGAAGCCCCGGCUAACUUCGUGCCAGCAGCCGCGGUAAUACGAAGGGGGCUAGCGUUGUUCGGAAUUACUGGGCGUAAAGGGCGCGUAGGCGGCGCUUCAAGUCAGAUGUGAAAGCCCCGGGCUCAACCUGGGAACAGCAUUUGAGACUGGAGUGCUUGAGUUCCGGAGAGGUGGGUGGAAUUCCCAGUGUAGAGGUGAAAUUCGUAGAUAUUGGGAAGAACACCGGUGGCGAAGGCGGCCCACUGGACGGAUACUGACGCUGAGGCGCGAAAGCGUGGGGAGCAAACAGGAUUAGAUACCCUGGUAGUCCACGCCGUAAACGAUGUCGGCUAGACGGUUGGGCUGCUUGGAGCUUCGGUGUCGCAGCUAACGCAUUAAGCCGACCGCCUGGGGAGUACGGCCGCAAGGUUGAAACUCAAAUGAAUGAC
This 542-nucleotide ribosomal RNA is filed under the name uncultured bacterium. Its description in RNAcentral is "partial 16S ribosomal RNA". It matches the Rfam family "Bacterial small subunit ribosomal RNA", at positions 355 to 914 of the family's 1533-position model. The record is from RNAcentral.